Molecule: small RNA, 3124 nt
Filed under: Arabidopsis thaliana (thale cress)
Lineage: Eukaryota; Viridiplantae; Streptophyta; Magnoliopsida; Brassicales; Brassicaceae
Description: ATSL263390
Source: RNAcentral
UUAAGUUAAAAAAAAAUAGAUUAAAGAAUAUUAAUAAAAAUUAAUUCUCUUUUUAAAACUAAAAAUUAUUUUAAUAUAUAUCAAAUAUACAAUUUCGUACUAAAAAUAAAAAUGAUUGUUUCAUUAAUUAUAAGAAUAUUAUGUACAUAUUUUCAGGACAGAUGUAAUUAUAUCGAACUUUGAUUUAUUAAAAGAUAAAUAUAAUUAUGUUUUGUAUAUGUUAUAUAUGAAAUAUUAUAAAUAAAAUAAAUAUAAAAUAACACAUGAAAAUGACUGAAACUUCUACUAUACAGUAUUUUUAUCUUGCCAUAGUUUAUAUGCAAUAUAUUCUCUGAUGUUUGCCAUUACAUCUUCAUCUUCUACCUCUGCUGCUUCCAUUUCAUCUUGAUUCGUUGCAUUGUCUGUGUAGCUAUUCUUAGUGUGUCCCAUUCUUUUAGUGAAAUCUUCAUCUGGAAAAUUUGAAAUUCUAAUAAAAUUUUGUAGUCCCAUUGUAGCAAUUACCACUAUUUUUGCACUUCAAUAAUAUAUCUAGGGAACUUAGAAAGAAUCCUCCACUUUUUCUUCCAAACACCAAAUGUCCUCUCAAUAACAGACCGCAAAGAAGCAUGCCAUCUAUUAAACAAUUCAUGUUUAUUCCUCGGAGGAUGAUUAGUGUUAAAUUGUGACAUAUGAUAACUUACUAUCCUGUUUCGUAAAGAUCUGUACAGGGUCAAAAAUCCUUUUAUAUAUGGAUAUCCAGAAUCUACAACAUAGUACUUGUCUGCCGGAGGCAUUGGAAAUUCAGGAUCAUUUUUUUUGUGCCAUCACAAGAACUGUUGUAUCAUGACAUGAUCCAGGUGCUCCAUUCCAAACAUAUGUGAAUAACAUAUUUAGAUCACAUAUUGCCAUGAUGUUAAAAGAUGUUAUAUCAUGUUGAUUCCAAUACAUUCCUUGCAAUGCGGGUUUCACAUUAACGCAUGCAUGAAUCCCAUCCGUAGCUCCAACAAAUCCAGUAAAAUAUCGCCCAUAUCAGUCAUCCAACUACAGCCGUUCAGGAAUCCUAUGUCAUUCUUGUGUUGUUGGAGUUUUGAUAUAAUCACAAGCAAGUAAUUCAGUAGCUGUCAGAACUUCAAAAAACUUUCUCUUCACUGUUUCUUGAUUUCGUCCAAACCGUAAUCCAACAUCUCGUUGAACUUCAUUGUGCCUACAUAUCCGGAGAAAUAUAGCAACACUCUCUUUGAUGCUUACAUUCAAUGGUUAUUGUAAUCCAUAAUUGGUUUGUAGAAUAUGACACAAUGUUGUGAACGCAUCAAGUGACAUCCGUAGCAACUGUAGACAAGCAGCAUUAUCUUCAUUUAGUCGAGACCAAAUGUUUCUCCAUCCUAGACCGCAAUUUGUUUGAACAGGUCCUCUUUGAAAAUAUCGUUCAUAGUAAUUCAAUGAUGGUUGAAUUAGCAACUCCUCAAAUUGCUCAUUUUUCAAAUUCCACAACUCGAGUCUCUAUUCAUAACUUAGAGUGUGUGAACUUUGUGAUCUUAAUUAACAGAUACGAAAAGCCUGUAAUUCAAUAUACAAGAAAUAAAAGAAAUAUUAGAUCAAUAAUAAACACCAUUCAUUAAAAAUUUAUUAAACAUACAACAUUAUAUAAAACAUAUAGUGGUUUGUUAAUUAAACAAAAACAUAAGCUUUAACACUAAUCUUCAUCUUCUAAACCACUUUGUUGACUUUCAUUUCAAUCUAGUCUUUGGUUCCCCAAAUGUUGAAUAAUCCUCCGGCUCUAUGUGAUUGUGGUUGGAAUUCUCUAAAUCCAGUCAUUGUAUCUGUCAAUGUUGUCUCAAAGGCUUGUUUUCUACGGGCACCUCAGGAACUACUUGCGAUAGCAACUCUUGAGCUUCCUGCCUCUUUUUGUAUUACUUGCACAGCUUACAUUCCCCCGUUGUUGAGUUAUGGAAGAAGGAAUUCGGGUCGCAUCCCGGGUGGAUUCGGUUGAAAGACGUGAUUCAUCUUCAAUGUUAACACGAUACACCUCUUCAUUUUCUUGUGUUUCGGGAACUUGAGUUUGUUCCCUAUCACUUCCAUCUAUGUCUGAAUUCACAUGCUCUUCUUCAUUAUCUACACCCUCGUUCAUCAUCUCUACUCUUCUUUGGUUUACAGAAUAUUGAGGUUGUAAAUGAAGAUCAUAUAAUGAGAAACAACGUUCCAUCACUUCCCAAAAUUAUGGUGGUUUUCGAUGAAGUGAUUUUAUUAUUCUACACCCUUGUUAAAAAAAUUAUAAAUUUUUUAUACAUCUAUAUUAGUUAAACAAAUAUUUUUGGUUAUGAGAUAAAUUAUAAUUAAUUACCGUUUCAUUGUCUUUCCACCAUUGUUCAGAUGCAGAUAACAUGGAUGUCGUCGGAUCAACUGAAAUGCCGGUGGACGUUUUCAUAAGAGCUUUCCACUUCUUAUACUUCUUUUUGAAAUUAUCAUGUUUUUCUUGCUAACAUUCAUCUUGAAUUCUUUAUUGAACUUUCGAGUGAUAAACUCUUUACCAUAAGGCGUCGGAUCUUUAAGACAGUAAUUAUUCAUGGCUAGUGCUUCGUCAUACAAUUCAAUGAGUCUUCUUUUUCGUUGAUAAGUCCAUUUAAAAUUAGCUUCACUUUACGAAUUUAAAAACAUAUAUUUAUAAUUUUAAUAAAAAAAUAUGAAUACAUUAUAAAUUUAAAUUAAUUACAAUAAUAAAAAAAUUACAUGUGAUGUUGUUUGAUUAUGAGCACUUGUGUUGCUUUUCUCAAGAGAAUUUGUGUUUCCUCGACGAUUUAAUGUCAUUUCUACAAUCAACUGGUUAAAAAAAGUUAGCAUAUUAAUUUUUAUUAUUUAAAAUUUUUAUAAUAACUUGUAACAUAAUAAAAUAGCAUAAUCCUUACAAACCAAUAUAUUUAAUUAAACUAAUUUACUUAUAAAAUUGUGUGGUUUAUAAAAUUUAUCUAAAAUAUUGUAGUUAAUUAAAUUAGUUCAUAUAGAAUAAUUUGUUUUUUAAUUUAACACAUUAGUAUUACAAAUGAAAAUAGUUUUUAAAUUUAAACUGUUUUAUAACUAAAUUAAUAAAAAGGUGUUGUGCAUUUAAUUUAUUGGUUAUUUAAUAUCCCAUUUAAUAUUUUAAACAUAU